GCUGGGCAUGGUGGGCAUGCCUGUAAUCCCAGUUACUCAGGAGGCUGAGGCAGGAGAAUCACUUGAACCCGGGAGGCAGAGGCUGCAGUGAGCCAAGAUCACACCACUGCAUUCCAGCCUGGGUGACAGAGUGAGACUCUGUCUCAA
This 147-nucleotide non-coding RNA is filed under the name Gorilla gorilla gorilla (western lowland gorilla). The record is from Rfam by way of RNAcentral. Lineage: Eukaryota; Metazoa; Chordata; Mammalia; Primates; Hominidae.